RNAcentral lists this ribosomal RNA (406 nucleotides) under uncultured bacterium. RNAcentral's name for it is "partial 16S ribosomal RNA". It matches the Rfam family "Bacterial small subunit ribosomal RNA", at positions 30 to 526 of the family's 1533-position model. The record is from RNAcentral.
AUUGAACGCUGGCGGCAGGCCUAACACAUGCAAGUCGAACGAGUAGCGGACGGGUGAGUAAUGUCUGGGAAACUGCCUGAUGGAGGGGGAUAACUACUGGAAACGGUAGCUAAUACCGCAUCCCAUCGGAUGUGCCCAGAUGGGAUUAGCUAGUAGGUGGGGGAAAGGCUCACCUAGGCGACGAUCCCUAGCUGGUCUGAGAGGAUGACCAGGGCGACUGGAACUGAGACACGGUCCAGACUCCUGCGAGUGGAAGCAGUGGGGAAUAUUGCACAAUGGGGUCAAGCCUGAGUCAGCCAUGCCGCGUGUAUGAAGAAGGCCUUCGGGUUGGAAAGUACUUUCAGCGGGGAGGCGUUACCCGCAGAAGAAGCACCGGCUAACUCCGUGCCAGCAGCCGCGGUAAUUC